CACAUCCGGGUGCUUGUUGAACAGAGUUGAACGCAUGGAUGUGGUUGAGAUGCAAAAGGAGCAUUUAACUAAUCUUGGAAACGCGGUCCGGUGUACAGCAGCAGUCUGUUGGUCCAGAUGUGGUCCAGGUAAUCCAGUAUCACCUUCUGGUUUUCCUCUGCUCCGAUGAAGCGGUUCCACUUAUCGAUCUUCACUCGCAGCACACAGAAGGCCUGCUCCCGUACGAAGUCCACCCUCUCGUCUGAUAACACCACCCCAGCUUUGAGAGAGGGAUCCUGGGGGACACGUACUCCUUCAGUCCCUCCACUGCCCACACCUCUACUGCUACUUCUGGGGCCUGCUGCCUCCGCCAUGAAGACUCACCUGGUCGGAAUUAGAAAUACACUGGAAAAUUGAUACACACCUUGAUGGAUAGGUUCACUGGUCACUGUGACAACGCAGUAGGGGCUGGCUUCAUUGUGAAGCCUGUAAGGCCUGCAACCCUAUCCUGUAACCUGAGCCUUCAGAGGAGACCUUACUACAGGGA
Long non-coding RNA from Gymnodraco acuticeps, 526 nucleotides. RefSeq lists it as uncharacterized. Lineage: Eukaryota; Metazoa; Chordata; Actinopteri; Perciformes; Bathydraconidae. The record is from RefSeq and is a predicted model, not a curated record. The transcript has 3 exons.